CAAUAUAUAUCUAUUUUUAAACAAAAUUUUUACAAUUAAUAAUGUUUUAUUUCUUAAUUUUUAACAAUGAGAGAAACAAAGAUGUAUCAUUACCUGUUCCAAAUACCUUUGCCCAUCAGCUGCAGGGACCAUCUUGUGAUGGAAUGCAAGAAACUUUUAUAAGCAUUUUUCAAUUAUAGAUACAAAAAAUUUGGUUAAUACUUCAAAUAAUUUUUUUUAUCAGAGAAAUAUCUAUAGCAUUUGGGUAAAUUAUCCAAUUAAUAUUACACAUAAAUGGUAUUUCUAAGGACAUUGCACUGUUUUUCUAUUUGCUAGACUUAUAGUACUAUUCUUUUCUAGUUUUAAAAUGCACUAUUUCAGUUAGAAAAGAAUUGUGGCAGAAUCGCAGCGACAUUGUCACAGAAACGUUACAGAGUUCUUGCAGAAAGAAUUUUUCUUCAGAAAGUUAAAGUAUCUCCGUGUUAUCAAACAUUGAAUGUACACUGGUAGUUACCAUCUACUAGUUAUGAGAAACACAAAGAAAUAGCUAUUGUCCUGAAUUCUAUAUCCCCACGACUUAGGGCAUAAACAAGAAAUAACGCAGAAAACAAAUGCAAAGACAAAACAGGUGAAUAAAUAAACUAAACAGAAUGACCGAAGUCAUUGCCCUUAAAGUUCUCUGGCUUGCCAAUAAAGCGACGAUUCAGAGCCGGAAUGCAAUGCAGCACAGCGGCGGAGGUGGUCCUAUUCAUGGGCUCUGCCAAGUUGCAGAGCAGACAGUCAGGUGAAUUUAGAAUACCGAUGCGGUGCAAGUGUUCAGCCAGACAGUCGUGGCUCGUUAGGAAAUUGUCUAAAGUUAAUUAUAAAAUAAUGGAUAACGCUUGACCGAUUGGAAAAUUUCAUUUGGUUUUUCACUCAAUGAUGUUGGCGUUUUCGCUCAACGGGCUUUCUUUGUGCUUCGAAUUUUUUGCAUGCCAUAUUGCUGUUUAGAUGAUUUAGCAGUCUAUAAAAGACGCAUAACGGACAGGCAUUCAUUUAUGCAUGCAAAUAGAUUAAAUAUUUAUGAAAUGUAGUUUUCUGAUUAUAUUUUUUGUUUCUCUUGUAACUCCUGUCAUCUUUUAUUUUUAAAGUUUUAAUUUUUUUAUUUACAUAAAUUUGUAUUUUAAUUUAUGGGGAAAAAUAUGUAAAAAUUUACCAUAUUUUUGUGUUCUUUUUUUAAUAUAAUCCUUAUUUUCACAAAUUAUGUCUACAUUUUCUCAAAGUAAGUACUUCUCAUAAAAACCUAGAAAGACCACUGAUAUUUUAGUUCUCCUACAAGGAAACACUUUAUGGUAUUUGGCGAAACAAUUUACUGUCCAGGGAAAAUUUGAUAAAAAUUCUCCUAUUACUGCCAGAAAACUGAUUUGUUUGAAAAGAUAAAUAGAUCUUAAAUAUCAUUUAGAUUGUUUUAUUGUUAAUGUAUUAUUUUUUAAAUAAGAAGAAAAAAACAGCUAUAUUUAAUGGAAAUAUUUUU
This is a non-coding RNA of Parasteatoda tepidariorum (common house spider), 1492 nucleotides long. The record is from RefSeq and is a predicted model, not a curated record. NCBI's taxonomy places the organism in Eukaryota, Metazoa, Arthropoda, Arachnida, Araneae, Theridiidae.